ACUUCCGAAGCAAACUCCCUCCGAUCGGCCACCAUCACCGAACAUCAUCACCACCACCACCUUUCUUUUUCCUCCAUUUUUGUUGGUAAACUUCUUACCAUUUUUCUUUUAGUUUUGUUUGUUUCAUAUUUAAUAAAUGAUUUAUUGGUGGUAUGGUUGUUGUUUUUGAAUGAAAUUGAUGAUGAUAUUGUUAUGGGUUUAGUAAAUGAUGAAAUUGAUGAUAAUGGUUUUGUUGUUGAUUUAAUUUGUGAAGAUGAUGGUGAAAUUGUUGUUGUAAUGAGGUUGAAGAUGAAGGAUAUUUUAUUGUGA
Non-coding RNA from Vicia faba (fava bean), 309 nucleotides. Lineage: Eukaryota; Viridiplantae; Streptophyta; Magnoliopsida; Fabales; Fabaceae. The record is from the annotation of a GenBank genome assembly.